GAUAAAGGUCUUGGAUAUCUCCAGAAUGGCAAAGGAAUUAACCUCAGUUUUAAUUGAUGAUUCCUUUUAUCCCUGUUCUCAACAGUUAGUGGUUUGUUUUUCUGUCUUUUAUUUCUUUUAUCUUUUGGAUGAAUAUUUUAUACAACUGAAUAUUUGGAUACUGAACCCAAUGGUUUCAGCCAUGACUCUUUCGAAAGUUGGUGCUGUGAGUCCAGACCAUCUGUUUAGUUUCAUGCUGGGGACAUCCAUGUCUUCU
This 256-nucleotide unclassified non-coding RNA is filed under the name Hevea brasiliensis (rubber tree). The record is from RNAcentral. Lineage: Eukaryota; Viridiplantae; Streptophyta; Magnoliopsida; Malpighiales; Euphorbiaceae.